CUUUUCACUUAGUGGUAGAAUAACGCCUUGUUAAGACAGGAGUCAUCGGUUCGAGUCCGAUAAAG
RNAcentral lists this transfer RNA (65 nucleotides) under Chandrasekharania keralensis. RNAcentral's name for it is "tRNA-Thr". The record is from RNAcentral. Lineage: Eukaryota; Viridiplantae; Streptophyta; Magnoliopsida; Poales; Poaceae.